Molecule: long non-coding RNA, 271 nt
Filed under: Drosophila guanche
Lineage: Eukaryota; Metazoa; Arthropoda; Insecta; Diptera; Drosophilidae
Source: RNAcentral
CUGCGACAUUUAAGAUGAGUUUCGUGUGGAUUUCUGUGGGUCGAACAGCAAAUGUAUACGCAAAUUUAAGUUUUACACAUUACCAAUGGGUAAUGCCUGUGUCUCUGUGUGGGAAUGAGUGUUACGUGUGUGUGUGUGUUGUACGAUCUAAUAUACUAUGUAGAUAUAUCUAUGAAUACUUUAUAUAAUUGUUAAGUCCGUACUUGAUAAUAAUAAUAUAUUGUAUAAUUAUACUGCAUAAGAAGCUAAGGAAACGGAAUUUCAAAUCAUU